GUAGUCCACGCCGUAAACGAUGAAUACUAGGUGUAGGGGUUGUCAUGACCUCUGUGCCGCCGCUAACGCAUUAAGUAUUCCGCCUGGGGGAGUACGGUCGCAAGAUUAAAACUCAAAGGAAUUGACGGGGGGCCCGCACAAGCAGCGGAGCAUGUGGUUUAAUUCGAAGCAACGCGAAGAACCUUACCUAGACUUGACAUCUCCUGCAUUACUCUUAAUCGAGGAAGUCUCUUCGGAGACAGGAUGACAGGUGGUGCAUGGUUGUCGUCAGCUCGUGUCGUGAGAUGUUGGGUUAAGUCCCCCGCAACGAGCGCAACCCUUAUUGUUAGUUGCCAUCAUUAAGUUGGGCACUCUAGCGAGACUGCCCGGGUUAACCGGGAGGAAGGUGGGGAUGACGUCAAAUCAUCAUGCCCCUUAUGUCUAGGGCUACACACGUGCUACAAUGGUCGGUACAUAAGAGCGCAAACCCGACGAGGGGGGAGCAAAACUGGAAAAACCGGAUCUCAGUUCGGAUUGUAGGCUGAAACUCGCCUACAUGAAGCUGGAGUUGCUAGUAAUCGCGAAUCAGCAUGUCGCGGUGAAUACGUUCCCGGGCCUUGUACACACCGCCCGUCA
This 615-nucleotide ribosomal RNA is filed under the name uncultured bacterium. RNAcentral describes it as "bacterial SSU rRNA". It matches the Rfam family "Bacterial small subunit ribosomal RNA", at positions 790 to 1399 of the family's 1533-position model. The record is from RNAcentral.